Long non-coding RNA from Megalobrama amblycephala (Wuchang bream), 628 nucleotides. RefSeq lists it as uncharacterized. NCBI's taxonomy places the organism in Eukaryota, Metazoa, Chordata, Actinopteri, Cypriniformes, Xenocyprididae. The transcript has 3 exons. The record is from RefSeq and is a predicted model, not a curated record.
CUCAUGUCAUUCCUAAACUGUAUGUUUUCUAAUUAGCUGUUUUAAACUACUUUUAUUGUGAUUCCUUUUUGGACUUGACAGACAUGAGGGCUUUUCACACUUCUUCCUGGGUUAUCUUGCUUCACGUUUCACACUGCUCAUAAUUUACCCGGGGGUUAACAAUUAAUCCUGGGUAUUCAUAUACUGACGUUUCACACUGUACUUUCCUAAACCCUGGGUUAACGUUCUUAUUUGCAUAUUUGCCGUGUCAGUGUCAUUGAUUGAUAAACGCAGCACGCGAUGUGUUUACAUGUAGGCUAGCUAGCUCUAGCAUUGCGCAUCCUCGUAUUGCCGACUGUACUAUCGAGUUUAUACUGAAUGGAUCUUUCGGACUCUAAAGCUUCCUAUGUACUGUAAUGAAACUGAAAGUCUACGUAUAUCGAUUUGUUUUGGUGUGAAGGAAAUCAGUCAAGGGAAAUCAUCACCUUCAGGUCUCGGUGGACUAUCCCCAGUGAAUGCAGUGCAAGGAAGGAGAGAUGAACACAUUACCCUGGCAGAGCAUUGUGCCAAACGCUAGGGCUUCCGCUGUGGACCAGUCCAAUUUUGUGCCAUCUUCCAGUUUCUGCAGUCGAGCCUGCGGCAAAUCAAG